AGCCCACUAGCUAGCUCACUCACCUAAACCCAACAACUCACUAUCCACACCCCCAGAUCAAACUAUGCACUUUUUAAACAAAUCAUUUUUCCCCCCAAGUAUGGGCGACAGAAAAGGAUAUUCCGUAAGCAACAGCAAUAGUACCGCAAAGGGAACGCUGAAAGAGAAAUGAAACAAAUCAGUAAG
RNAcentral lists this ribosomal RNA (186 nucleotides) under Taeniamia macroptera (dusky-tailed cardinalfish). RNAcentral's name for it is "partial 16S ribosomal RNA". Lineage: Eukaryota; Metazoa; Chordata; Actinopteri; Kurtiformes; Apogonidae. The record is from RNAcentral.